This 301-nucleotide ribosomal RNA is filed under the name uncultured bacterium. Its description in RNAcentral is "partial 16S ribosomal RNA". It matches the Rfam family "Bacterial small subunit ribosomal RNA", at positions 509 to 809 of the family's 1533-position model. The record is from RNAcentral.
CAGUCGCCGCGGUAAUACGGAGGGUGCAAGCGUUAAUCGGAAUUACUGGGCGUAAAGCGCACGCAGGCGGUCUGACAAGUCAGAUGUGAAAUCCCCGGGCUUAACCUGGGAACUGCAUUUGAAACUGUCAGGCUGGAGUCUUGUAGAGGGGGGUAGAAUUCCAGGUGUAGCGGUGAAAUGCGUAGAGAUCUGGAGGAAUACCGGUGGCGAAGGCGGCCCCCUGGACAAAGACUGACGCUCAGGUGCGAAAGCGUGGGGAGCAAACAGGAUUAGAUACCUCAGUAGUCCCUGUCCUUAUACA